Molecule: long non-coding RNA, 1419 nt
Organism: Mirounga angustirostris (Northern elephant seal)
Lineage: Eukaryota; Metazoa; Chordata; Mammalia; Carnivora; Phocidae
Exons: 3
Source: RefSeq, a predicted model, not a curated record
AAAGGAUAUGGAAAAAUUUGAUACCUGAUCAAAAGUGCCAUCUUGAUGUCCAUUGUGGUACUUCACGGAAUCCUUCUUGAGUGUGCAGAAAUGAGCAGCUAGAUACACAAGUGUUGAUAAAUAUCGUACAGAAUAACUUUCAGAGAGAGCAUGCACAAGAGAGAACACAAGUUGGGGGAGAGGCAGAGGGAAAAGUAGGCUCCCUGCUCAGCAGGAAGUCUGAUGCAGGACUCAAUCCCAGGACCCUGGGGUCAUGACCUGAGCUGAAGGCAGACGCUUAACCGACUGAACCACCCAGGAAGAAGUGUCUGACAGUGUCGGAAGCCUGGAACUUACUGGAUCAAUGAGAAGGGACUUCUGGCUUCUCAGUUAGACAAGGAUCAGUAGAAGCUGAGCCAUGGAAGCCCACCAAAACCACAAAACAUUAACACUGCUCCUCUGCUUCCAUUCCUGCUACAGAAGCCAUUUGAAGCAUUUUUUUUAUACAGUUCUCAACUUGUGGUAAGAAAUUAAGCCCAAAGCAUCUUAGUAAACCUUGUGUUUUGAUUUACUAAACAUUCAAGAAUGCACUUUCUUCCUUUCGUAGAUUUGUGUCAUGAUUUUAUUUUAAAAAUGCAUGACUUUGUCUGUACUUACUUGUUCCCAGAAAUGGUUCCAUGUGUACAAUACAUUCAUAGUCUUUUAGUUUUCUGAGGAUCUCAGCACACUAAACGAGGAAGAAAGUAGUGUGAACACCAAACCAAGAAAUUGCCGGCAUCUGAACAAGCCUUGCUGCUGGGGCCUAGUUAAGAUAAAUACUCAUCCAUCUAGUGCCUUCAUUUCUGUAAUGUCUCACUGUCCAAGUUAAUAAAUGCUUUCUUGCUAGUUUUUUGGCAUCUCUUUGAAUGAGGAAUGUAAACUGAAAAGGCCUAGGAGACAAAAACUGGCACAUAACUCUGUGAUGAAUAAUAUCAGGAGACACAGAGACUGGCUCAGUAGUCCCAUAUACAGUGCCACAAUCUCUAUCAGAGGACAGAUGGAUUUGCUGCCUGAGAUGGGGCUGUUAUAGAAUUUCUAGACAUAUGAAAAAAUAAAGAAAAAGAAUAAGAACAAAUCCAGGUCCAAUUUUAUGAAAGUAGAAGUUAAGUAUAAAACAAGAGAUUUAUAGAAAGGAUAUUAAAGACAAUUAAAGCUUGAUAAACAGAAUCAUCAACAUAUAUUUAAUCUUUAGAUAUUGGGAAAGGAAAACAAUGUAGGUUUUUUGAAGAACACUUAGAAAUUCUGGGAGAGACUUCCAGCAAAAUUAGACUAAAACUAUUAUUUAGUUAUCUCUGUUUUUGCACUGUAUUAUAAACUAUUACUGUUAAAAAGCCUAAAAAAUCCCCUGGAAAAUCAUGCUCAUCUUUCCUAAGUUAAAUACCACUAAAAAGAAAACUUUCA